AACUUUCGACAACGGAUCUCUUGGCUCUCGCAUCGAUGAAGAACGCAGCGAAAUGCGAUAAUUAAUGUGAAUUGCAGAAUUCAGUGAAUCAUCGAGUCUUUGAACGCACCUUGCGCUCCCUGGUAUUCCGGGGAGCAUGUCUGUUCGAGUGUCAUGAAUCUCUCAAAUCAGAUGCCUUUAUUUGUUGUCUUGAUUUGGAUUUGGACUCUGCUGUGUCAAAUGCAGCUGGUCUUAAAAGCAUUAGCUGGUGCCCCCACCUCUGUUUGGGUUUGGUUCUACUCAGUGUGAUAAUUGUCUAUCACUGAGGACAUUCUUUAGAAUGGCCAGGCUCACUCUAGGACUGCUUCUAAUCGUCCCUUGGACAAUUCAUCUUAAUCUGACCUCGAAUCAGGUAGGACUACCCGCUGAACUUAAGCAUAUCAAUAAGCGGAGGCU
Molecule: unclassified non-coding RNA, 435 nt
Filed under: uncultured Basidiomycota
Lineage: Eukaryota; Fungi; Basidiomycota
Description: sequence contains ITS2
Rfam family: 5.8S ribosomal RNA (bases 1-154)
Source: RNAcentral